CCUACGGGAGGCAGCAGUAGGGAAUAUUGGGCAAUGGGCGCAAGCCUGACCCAGCAACGCCGCGUGAGGGAAGAAGGUUUUCGGAUUGUAAACCUCUGUCCUAUGUGACGGAGGAAGUGACGGUAGCAUAGGAGGAAGCCCCGGCUAACUACGUGCCAGCAGCCGCGGUAAU
Molecule: ribosomal RNA, 172 nt
Filed under: uncultured bacterium
Lineage: Bacteria
Description: partial 16S ribosomal RNA
Rfam family: Bacterial small subunit ribosomal RNA
Source: RNAcentral